This 555-nucleotide ribosomal RNA is filed under the name uncultured bacterium. Its description in RNAcentral is "partial 16S ribosomal RNA". It matches the Rfam family "Bacterial small subunit ribosomal RNA", at positions 355 to 900 of the family's 1533-position model. The record is from RNAcentral.
UAGGGAAUCUUCCACAAUGGACGCAAGUCUGAUGGAGCAACGCCGCGUGAGUGAAGAAGGUUUUCGGACCGUAAAGCUCUGUUGUUGGUGAAGAAGGAUAGAGGUAGUAACUGGCCUUUAUUUGACGGUAAUCAACCAGAAAGUCACGGCUAACUACGUGCCAGCAGCCGCGGUAAUACGUAGGUGGCAAGCGUUGUCCGGAUUUAUUGGGCGUAAAGCGAGCGCAGGCGGAAGAAUAAGUCUGAUGUGAAAGCCCUCGGCUUAACCGAGGAAUUGCAUCGGAAACUGUUUUUCUUGAGUGCAGAAGAGGAGAGUAGAACUCCAUGUGUAGCGGUGGAAUGCGUAGAUAUAUGGAAGAAUACCAGUGGCGAAGGCGGCUCUCUGGUCUGCAACUGACGCUGAGGCUCGAGAGCAUGGGUAGCGAACAGGAUUAGAUACCCUGGUAGUCCAUGCCGUAAACGAUGAGUGCUAAGUGUUGGGAGGCUUCCGCCUCUCAGUGCUGCAGCUAACGCAUUAAGCACUCCGCCUGGGGGAGUACGACCGCAAGGUUGAAAC